This is a long non-coding RNA of Gossypium raimondii (Peruvian cotton), 299 nucleotides long. RefSeq lists it as uncharacterized. Lineage: Eukaryota; Viridiplantae; Streptophyta; Magnoliopsida; Malvales; Malvaceae. The transcript is spliced from 2 exons. The record is from RefSeq and is a predicted model, not a curated record.
AUCAAGAAAGACGUGAAGAGUAUAUCAAAGCGGGAAAAGAAAAGAUAGUGGAGUAAAGUGCAAAAUUACGAUAUUUUGCACCGAGUGACUUCCAACAACUCGGAAAUUGGAACGAAGUCAGACAAUCAUCUACACUAUCCUUCACAUUUGGGGUAUUUUACUACUAGUGUUCCGAAAUUUUAUGGCAUGUAUAGACAAUUUAUGUAAUGUGGGAUCAUCAUGUAAAUAUAUGUUAUGGUUCCCUUUUAAAUGUAGUGUUUAUUAAUAGUUAAACUAUAUGUGUGUUUAUACAAAUGAAA